UUUUCAUAAUGCCAGGAGAAGCUUUAGAUGCUUGUUUUGCCUUUAUUUGUUUAAAGCAAUAUAUUUGACUAGCAGCAAGUGUGUGGAGGUCAAAAUAUGUUCAAGACAAUAAAAAUGUCAGUGAAGGACAUCUGAAAUUUUGUUGCAGAGGUUUUCUGAUGCAUGUGUUUUAAGGUUUAAGGGUGGUGGCACAGCUAAGACCCAAGAGUCUCUUUCAAGACACUGAAUUUGAGCAGAAACCAUAAGGAUACUCAAAGGACCUGUGACUCUCAGGAAAUGCAUCAAAUGAGAGUGACAGAUGAAACAGUUUCAAGACAAUGGCAGGAAAAGCAUGCUGAAGAUUGAAACAAACCUUGGCUGGAAA
Paramormyrops kingsleyae is the source of this 364-nucleotide long non-coding RNA. RefSeq lists it as uncharacterized. The record is from RefSeq and is a predicted model, not a curated record. NCBI's taxonomy places the organism in Eukaryota, Metazoa, Chordata, Actinopteri, Osteoglossiformes, Mormyridae.